This 434-nucleotide ribosomal RNA is filed under the name uncultured Clostridium sp. RNAcentral describes it as "partial 16S ribosomal RNA". It matches the Rfam family "Bacterial small subunit ribosomal RNA", at positions 341 to 792 of the family's 1533-position model. The record is from RNAcentral. Lineage: Bacteria; Bacillati; Bacillota; Clostridia; Eubacteriales; Clostridiaceae.
ACGGAAGGCAGCAGUGGGGAAUAUUGCACAAUGGGCGAAAGCCUGAUGCAGCGACGCCGCGUGAGUGAAGGAGUAUCUCGGUAUGUAAAGCUCUAUCAGCAGGGAAGAAAAUGACGGUACCUGACUAAGAAGCCCCGGCUAACUACGUGCCAGCAGCCGCGGUAAUACGUAGGGGGCAAGCGUUAUCCGGAUUUACUGGGUGUAAAGGGAGCGUAGGCGGCCAGACAAGUCAGAUGUGAAAGCCCGGGGCUCAACCCCGGGACUGCAUUUGAAACUGUGGGGCUAGAGUACUGGAGAGGCAAGCGGAAUUCCUAGUGUAGCGGUGAAAUGCGUAGAUAUUAGGAAGAACACCAGUGGCGAAGGCGGCUUGCUGGACAGAGACUGACGCUGAGGCUCGAAAGCGUGGGGAGCAAACAGGAUUAGAUACCCUGGUA